CUGCCGCUGUUCACCUGAGCCAGGAGCCAGGGCUUCAGACGGAUCCUCCGAGGCUGGACGCUCAUGGCGUAGGGGGACUGGGAUCACCGGGAGGAGCUGCAGGCUGACGCCAGACUGAUCUCAGAGAGAGGAGGAGUCUGAGCACCUGGAGACAGGAGGGAGAUGGACGGCAAAGUAGCCAAAAUGACAUGUGGAGUUCCGAACUGUGGAGGAGCUGAAGUCCAGUCAGGUAGCCACGAUGGAUGUUUCUCUUCAUUCA
Molecule: long non-coding RNA, 259 nt
Organism: Xiphias gladius (swordfish)
Lineage: Eukaryota; Metazoa; Chordata; Actinopteri; Istiophoriformes; Xiphiidae
Exons: 3
Source: RefSeq, a predicted model, not a curated record